UAGGAUGAGAGACGUUGAGCUCCAAACUCAGACUAAGAAACUAUAAGAAAUAUGCUUCAAUGAAGAAGCUGUUCAAAAAUGAGUAAGAUUGUUUCCUUGAGGCAAGAAAGAAAUGCAGAAGUCUUGACAAACAAAAGAAGAGAUUGCCUUAGGGAAGGGGACUACAGUGAACACUGAGAACUUCUUCCCACGCUAAGACAAUCUUUACAGAGCAAGACUCCGUCUCAAAAAAAAAAAAAAAAGUGGAGACCUAUUCUGUUGGGUUAGAGAUGACAGAAAAUCUUAUUUGUCGGUUGGUUUGUUUGUUCAAGAAUACACUGACCUUCUACAAGAAAGGAGAGCUCUUUGACACCUGGAAAGAAGCUUGGGACAGCUCUGAAUGGCAACACGGUCCUGAGAUAUGUGAUUACCUGGGACUUUCAUUGGACCUGCAUUUCAGCUCUACUCUCCUCACUGCCCUAUGCUGCUUUGACCCUAAAAGUGAAGCCAGCUUGGCCAGGUGCAGUGACUCACACCUGUAAUCCCAGCACUUUGGGAGGCCGAGGUGGGCAAAUCAAGAAGUCAGGAAAUCGAGACCACCCUGGCCAACAUUGUGAAACACCAUCUCUACUAAAACACAAAAAAAUUAGCCAGGUGUGG
Molecule: long non-coding RNA, 639 nt
Filed under: Homo sapiens (human)
Lineage: Eukaryota; Metazoa; Chordata; Mammalia; Primates; Hominidae
Description: non-protein coding LINC00882:24
Source: RNAcentral